GUCUGUGUCCCUUUCCUUGAUGACUGACCAAUGGAACACAGCUGGGGUGAUGCUGGAGUAAUUCCAGGCCCCAGUCUGAUGAAGCUGGCAGUCUCCACUUCCUGACUCUUGAGACAGUUGCUCUUUGAUCUGAGUCCUGUUCACGAAGGUACCACUGGGCAAGGAGCUAAAGCCUGUGGCUCUCAGCGCUGGCUGAGCUCCCAGUCAGCAGCACUAGCUGUGUGUUUGAGCCGUCUUGGAAGUGAGUCCUCCAGGCCCAAGUUGAGCUACCCUUGCUGAUGCCAGCAGAGCAGAGACAAGCCUCCAUGGCUGAGCCACCAUGAACCAAAGUGCCGGUUCCUCUUCAGGAGCCCUCAUGGUAGUCUGUGGGGCCGAAUGAGACACUCCUCUGCAAACUGGGGUGCUCCCCCAGGCCCUCAGGGUCCCUCAGCCAAUGUGCAGCAGCUGUCCCCACCACUGAGAACAAGACUGGUGCUUCGUGGGACCUUCAGCCAGUAUAGUCAGGAACAGCUGUUCAUUUUGUACACUCAGUGCCCUCACUUCUGUUAAUAUCAUUCUCCCUCUCCUUUGGGAAACUGGUCUCCCCUGACUGAUGUGUUCUUGUGAAGCUGGUGAAACUGCCAAACACAAAACCCUACGGGUGGUGGCUGUGGAAAUUAGUAAAAGAAACCCCCAACUAACCUGGACUAGGGAAGUCCUGCACUAGGAGCUCUCACCCCCAUCACACAUGGUCAGUUACACCAAACAGUAAGAGAGAGAAGCUUGCAUCUCAGACUGGAAGUAAAGCUACUUUACCAUUGAAGGAAGACUUCUCUCCCCACCCAGCAGCAGCCCAGACAGUGAGAAAUGCUGCAGCUCAGCCAAUGAGAAAGGCUCCAGCUCAGCCAAUGAGAAGUGCUCCAGCUUAGCCAAUGAGAAAUGCUGCAGCUCAGUCAAUGAGAAAUGCUGCAGCUCAGCCAAUGAGAAACACUGCAGCUCAGCCAAUGAGAAAGGCUCCAGCUCAGCCAAUGAGAAAUGCUGCAGCUCAGCCAAUGAGAAAUGCU
This is a long non-coding RNA of Equus asinus (donkey), 1043 nucleotides long. The record is from Ensembl. NCBI's taxonomy places the organism in Eukaryota, Metazoa, Chordata, Mammalia, Perissodactyla, Equidae.